This is a long non-coding RNA of Micropterus dolomieu (smallmouth bass), 909 nucleotides long. RefSeq lists it as uncharacterized. The transcript is spliced from 4 exons. The record is from RefSeq and is a predicted model, not a curated record. NCBI's taxonomy places the organism in Eukaryota, Metazoa, Chordata, Actinopteri, Centrarchiformes, Centrarchidae.
GCAGUUUAAUGGGUCUCCUUUAACAUUAAAGCAUGAAAACAUUUUCUAGUAGACAAGUAGACUCUACAAGUAUGAUCCUGAACAUGAGGAUUCUACGGCCCCUUUAAACUUAAAGUCUUAUGUUGAUCACUUGCAGUAGACCCUGGUUCCAACAGGAAGUAGCCAUGUACUAUAGGACCAAACCCGGCUUCACUGCUCUCCAGUAACUAUACUGUCUAUGGGGUCCAGCAAAACCUGACCGCUACAAACAGUCUCCUGUAUCCUCAGCUCACCAACGAGGCCGGUCUCUGAGCUGGUCUGUGUUUCUCGCGGUUUGUAGGACGCAGCCUGCGGUGCUGAUGCUGCGGGUUUCCCCGGGAAACAUGUGAGCAUCUCUGAAAAAGUGAGAUCUGUAGAGCCAGAUCAGAGCCAGAUCCUCCUGAUGGGUCCAGUGUUUACCUCAGCGACUGUGAAACAAUCCUGGACUCUUUCCUGCCCCCCUCCAGGGAAGCUGUGACACCUUCAUGUACCUGAAAUCCAGCUGAACUGGUCCAGAUCAGAUCUGAUGGUUGCAGUUGCAUAACACACAGUUACUGACUGUGAUUUUUAUACCAGAAUAAAAGAAGAACCAGAGCGAGAACAAGUCCUGUGUGGUCGUGCCGUCCUUCCACACCGUCGACACAAAAGUGACACACUCACCGAGCAGUGUCACGUCACUACAUGAAAACUACAUGAACGAGGCCUUUAUGUCCCCUUCCAAUUACUCAUUUGAGGGUAAUAUUAAGAAACGGCUCAUUGAUAACGAACACUGAUGCUGAUUUUAUCCACCUUUUCAUCUACAUGUAUCAUCUACUUUUUUUUGAUUUUAUCUGCUCAUGUUGUUAAACUGUACUGUAUAUGUGUUUUAACACUAUUUAACUAUUGUAAACU